AUGGUUAAGCAGACCAUCCAGAUAUUCGCUCGGGUUAAACCUACCAAGAAGCCCUUGGGGGUUUACUCCGCAGACAAUGAAGAGCCUGGCAGCUCCAGCUUGGAGUUCCUCGUCCCUCGAGAUUUGGCUGAUGGCUUCAUCAACAACAAAAGGGAGAGCUACAGGUUCAGGUUUCAGAAGGUCUUUGAUCAGGCGGCCAAACAAGAGGACAUCUUUGAGGAGAUCGCCAGGCCGGUGGCUGACAGUGUCUUGGCUGGCUACAAUGGCACCAUCUUCGCCUACGGGCAGACUGGCAGCGGGAAGACCUUCACCAUCACCGGAGGGGCCGAGCGCUAUGGUGACCGGGGCAUCAUCCCACGCACGCUCUCCUACCUCUUCCAACAGUUCGACAAGGAUACAAGUAAAGUGUACAGUGCCCGCGUCUCCUACUUGGAGAUCUACAACGAGAACGGCUAUGACCUCCUGGACCCCCGGCACGAGGCCGCCAAGCUGGAGGAUUUGCCGAAAGUCACCAUCAUGGAAGACACGGAACAGAACAUCCACUUGAAGAACCUGUCGUCCCUGCAGGCGGCCAACGAGGAGGACGCGCUCAACCUGCUCUUCUUGGGAGACACCAACCGCAUGAUAGCCGAGACCCCAAUGAAUCAGGCCUCCACCCGUUCCCACUGCAUCUUCACGGUCCACAUCUCCAGUCGGGAGCCCGGCUCGGCCACUGUGCGCCGCUCCAAGCUGCACCUGGUUGACCUGGCUGGCUCUGAACGUGUGGCCAAAACUGGCGUCGGUGGUCACCUGCUGACUGAGGCCAAAUAUAUCAACCUGUCCCUACACUACCUGGAGCAGGUGAUCAUCGCUCUGUCAGAGAAGAAUCGCUCGCACAUUCCCUACCGGAACUCCAUGAUGACCUCGGUGCUCCGAGACAGCCUGGGAGGAAACUGCAUGACCUCGAUGAUCGCCACCGUCUCUGCGGAGAAGAAGAAUAUUGAUGAGUCGAUCUCGACCUGCCGCUUUGCGCAGAGGGUGGCCCUCAUCAAGAACGAGGCGGUCCUCAACGAGGAGCUGGACCCCGCACUGAUGAUCGCGCGCCUCAAGAGAGAAGUCCAGGAGCUGAAGGACGAGCUGGCCCUGGUGACUGGAGAGCAGCGGACGGAGCAGCUCACUGAGGAGGAACUCCAAAAAUUGGAGGAGCAGAUUAAAACAUUUUUGGAAGAUGGAGACCCUGAAGCAUCUCUGGAGGUCGGGGUGGACAUGCGCAAGAUUCACCACUGUUUCCAGAGACUCAAGGUAUAUGCCAAAGAAAAAACGGUGCCUUCUGCUGUCGGAGACCACGGAGAUUCGCACGCCGCUCCCCAGGAUGAGCCGCUGCCCGACGAAGUGAAGCUCAGUAGGCUGGCGAAGAUGGAGGAGCUCCUGCAGCAGAGAGAUAAUGAAAUCAGUAUCCUGGUGAAUAUGCUGAAGAAGGAGAAGAAAAGAGCCCAGGAUGCCAUUAACCAGGCGUCCGUGGGUUCCAAGGAAGUUUUUGCCACAAAAAAUCCAACACCUCCACCUACGGGCAUUCAGACUGGCGAGAGCGUGACCACCGAGAGCAAGCGCCGCCCUCUGCAUUUGAAAACAGGUGCAGCUCUGUCUCUGGGGCGGCAGGAGGCCUUUGAAAUUUUUGCGAGAGACCACGUGGACAGCAUCACCUUUGAAGACAACAAGGCCAUCUUGAGACUCAGGAUUGCUGAAGCCAAAUCCUUAGGAGAAAACCUGAAGACGGCGAGAAGUCGGAUCAAUGAGCUGAAGCAGCAGAUGGAGCAGCGGCGCCUGCAGAGGGCAGCACUGGGCAUGACCUCAAACGAUGGUGAGCACUUGGCCGAGAGCGACCCCAUGGAAGAGGAGCUUCGGGACAAAAUCGAGGAAGAGAAAAAGAGCUACAAAGCGAUUCACGGCCGUCUGAAGAGCCUGAAGACCGAAAUCGAGCAUCUGCAGCUCCUGCAGUACAAGGCCAAGGCGAAGCUGCAGAAGGACUUCGAGGGCUGGUGGGCAGACGAGGCGGCCCACCUGCAGGCUGAAGAGCAGAGGUCGGCGUCGAGUUCAUCAGACAGACUCACCAGCAGCGUUCCUCUGUCGUCAUCAUCAUCAUCGUCAUCUCUGGAUUCCCUUCACAAGUUCAGAAAUCCAAACCCUGGCUACACGAGGGAGGCGGCGCUGCAGAGCAGUUCAGACAGCCGUGUGACAUCAGCCUUGUCAGGUGGCAGGCCCCCUGGAGUGCCGGGCUCCGCCAUCCCUCUGACUGGAAACCCCCUGGUGGACGCGGAUAUCGUGGCUUUCGUUAAGGCGAGACAGACCAUCCAUCAGAGGAUAGACCUCCCCAGGUGAGCUUUGUCCUCCCUUUCUGGACCUCAACGCCGUGAAUGUGGCAGACUGGCUGCUUUUAUACCCGCGCACUUCUGGUGCCAGCACUUAUUCCCAGGAAGCACUUCAGGGUCAGGCUGAGCAGUUCUUUCCCAACAGCACCCUCUGGUGGCCACCGAGGAACCCAACAGGGCCUUCAGAAUAAAUGAACUGCUUGGGGCGUCUGGACGUCACUCAGCUGCUGCUUGUCACUGCCAGGCUGGCACCAGACUUCAAGGACCAAUCUGUCACCCCAAAUAGACUGGCACAGAUCCCAACCAUGGGAGCUGGGAUGGCCGAGGGGACAAUGAGAGAAGACUAAGGUGUCCGGCGGGGGGCACCCUGUUGUAUGAAAGCCACCAAUUGCUGAGCAAAUUUGUCACAUCAACUUUCGUAUUUAUUUUUUAUUUUUUUCCCAUAAACUUGAUUUUUUUUUUAUAAAGGUGAAGAAAUAAAUGAAA
This is an RNA transcript of Polypterus senegalus (gray bichir), 2834 nucleotides long. It is a transcript of the gene named kinesin family member 6, with no coding region annotated. NCBI's taxonomy places the organism in Eukaryota, Metazoa, Chordata, Cladistia, Polypteriformes, Polypteridae. The transcript has 23 exons. The record is from RefSeq and is a predicted model, not a curated record.